GGGGAUUUAGCUCAGUAGAAGAGCCUUUGCCCAGCAAGCAAACAGCCCUGGGUUUGAUACCCAGCCCUG
This 69-nucleotide transfer RNA is filed under the name Mus musculus (house mouse). It matches the Rfam family "tRNA". Rfam says of the family: Transfer RNA (tRNA) molecules are approximately 80 nucleotides in length. Their secondary structure includes four short double-helical elements and three loops (D, anti-codon, and T loops). Lineage: Eukaryota; Metazoa; Chordata; Mammalia; Rodentia; Muridae. The record is from Rfam by way of RNAcentral.